CAGAUGGCAAACAAUUAAAGAGAGAAUAAGAGGGGAAAGGACCCCCCUGUGGUGUGGCCUCGAUAAGAAACAACAUGGCCUCUUGGGGUCAUGGGCUCGUCUUUCAUUCUGUGACACUUCAUCGGGAGGGCCACCUCUGGCCAACUUGAUGUGAAGAAGCCACCUGCCCGCCUGGCUCCACAGGGAUUCGAAUCCGUUAUUCGGUUUACUUACUGCAUUAUACCUCUCCCUGUCUGCAGUUACAUUCCUCAGUGACUUAUUCGUGCAUGUAACUUUUUGUCGAGGGCUUUUUGUGCACCAGGCACCGGGUUCUGGAGAUACCAUAGGGAACAACACAGACCAAACGCCUGCCUUCAUGGAACUGCCAUUCUCAUGGGAAACGACAGGCAGAUGUCCAUGAUUUGGAAAAAGGCAACGAAGACGAAUGAGGCAACUCCAACAUGGCAAGAUAGCCAGCGGGUGUGAAUGCAGCAGAGCAACGUGAGGCCCCGCCCAGGGCUCUCAUGAAGGUGAAGUUCAAGUUUCUCCAACUGCUAGACAGUAUCCAGGAAGGGAGGACAGCCCAGCUUGGCCAGAGGAGCCAUGACCUUGACACAGAGGCAUCGGUGAGAGGGAAUUAAAUGGCCCCUUCCUUGUG
Molecule: long non-coding RNA, 637 nt
Organism: Suricata suricatta (meerkat)
Lineage: Eukaryota; Metazoa; Chordata; Mammalia; Carnivora; Herpestidae
Exons: 4
Source: RefSeq, a predicted model, not a curated record